Non-coding RNA from Acanthosepion pharaonis, 108 nucleotides. The record is from the annotation of a GenBank genome assembly. NCBI's taxonomy places the organism in Eukaryota, Metazoa, Mollusca, Cephalopoda, Sepiida, Sepiidae.
GCAUAUCACGUUGAAACAUUGGUUUCCAUAUGAUCACUGAAGUUAAGCAAUGUCAAGCCAGGUCAGUACCUAGACGGGUGAACACUUGAGAAUACCAAGUGCUGUAAG